AAUAAACAAAAUCGGGGUAACAAACUAAAACUGAGGGAAACGCAUAAGAUAUAAGAGGAGAACAACGACACAACACUACAAUGUAACACACACAGAAACGGACCAAGCAUCAGACAUUUGUUAAUAUAGAGUUCACUAUAGCGUAAGGCCAACUUUAAAAAAUGCAUAAGACGUCCGUAACUUUUUGAUCGAAACUAAGCAGACUGUCCGUAACUUUAUUUUCAGAUGUGGGUAACUUUUGAUUUAAAAUUUUAAGAAUUAUAAUUUCAACAAUUAGAAGACAAUUAACAUCAUAUUUGUAACAUUCACGGCCGUUUAUACUACUCAUUCACCACCAAAUGUGAUUUUAUUAACGCAUCAUACUUACAUCACAGACGUUCUAUGUGGGGUUUGUGGUACUCGAUCCUGGUUAUGGUUUGAACUUUUAUUAACUGAUGUGCGUCUUAUCGACGUUUUCGAUUCGCACCAUGGCUUUGUCAUACUCUUUAAAUUUUUUAGUUUAAUUAUCUGUUUGCGGUUUAUUUUCACCUCUGUUUCUUUUUAUGUGUAUUUUGAUGAAUACUCUUUGACGCGGCUCGGUAUUUAUACAUCCCACCAGUAAGUUAUAGUGUUAUGUUUUUUUAAUACGUUUCCUAGUAAGUUUUUUUUUUUUUCAUUUCUCUUUGUAUGUUAUCAG
RNAcentral lists this long non-coding RNA (676 nucleotides) under Mytilus galloprovincialis (Mediterranean mussel). The record is from RNAcentral. Lineage: Eukaryota; Metazoa; Mollusca; Bivalvia; Mytilida; Mytilidae.